RNAcentral lists this ribosomal RNA (497 nucleotides) under uncultured bacterium. RNAcentral describes it as "partial 16S ribosomal RNA". It matches the Rfam family "Bacterial small subunit ribosomal RNA", at positions 28 to 507 of the family's 1533-position model. The record is from RNAcentral.
GAUGAACGCUGGCGGCGUGCCUAAUACAUGCAAGUCGAGCGAACAGACGAGGAGCUUGCUCCUCUGACGUUAGCGGCGGACGGGUGAGUAACACGUGGAUAACCUACCUAUAAUACUGGGAUAACUUCGGGAAACCGGAGCUAAUACCGGAUAAUAUAUUGAACCGCAUGGUUCAAUAGUGAAAGACGGUUUUGCUGUCACUUAUAGAUGGAUCCGCGCCGCAUUAGCUAGUUGGUAAGGUAACGGCUUACCAAGGCAACGAUUCGUAGCCGACCUGAGAGGGUGAUCGGAGACACUGGAACUGAGACGCGGUCAAGAGUACUACGGGAGGCAGCAGUAGGGAAUAUUCCGCAAUGGGCGAAAGCCUGACGGAGCAACGCCGCGUGAGUGAUGAAGGUCUUCGGAUCGUAAAACUCUGUUAUUAGGGAAGAAAAAAUGUGAAAGUAAAUAUGCACGUAUUGACGGUAACUAAUCAGAAAGCAACGGCUAACUACGUG